RNAcentral lists this ribosomal RNA (336 nucleotides) under uncultured bacterium. RNAcentral's name for it is "bacterial SSU rRNA". It matches the Rfam family "Bacterial small subunit ribosomal RNA", at positions 29 to 392 of the family's 1533-position model. The record is from RNAcentral.
AGCGAACGCUGGCGGCAGGCUUAACACAUGCAAGUCGAACGGACCCUUCGGGGUUAGUGGCGGACGGGUGAGUAACACGUGGGAACGUGCCCUUCGGUUCGGAAUAACUCAGGGAAACUUGAGCUAAUACCGGAUACGCCCUUUUGGGGAAAGGUUUACUGCCGAAGGAUCGGCCCGCGUCUGAUUAGCUAGUUGGUGGGGUAAUGGCCUACCAAGGCGACGAUCAGUAGCUGGUCUGAGAGGAUGAUCAGCCACACUGGGACUGAGACACGGCCCAGACUCCUACGGGAGGCAGCAGUGGGGAAUCUUGCACAAUGGGGGAAACCCUGAUGCAGC